RNAcentral lists this ribosomal RNA (1346 nucleotides) under uncultured bacterium. RNAcentral describes it as "partial 16S ribosomal RNA". It matches the Rfam family "Bacterial small subunit ribosomal RNA", at positions 28 to 1381 of the family's 1533-position model. The record is from RNAcentral.
GACGAACGCUGGCGGCGUGCUUAACACAUGCAAGUCGAACGGAAAGGCCCUGCUUUUGUGGGGUGCUCGAGUGGCGAACGGGUGAGUAACACGUGAGUAACCUGCCCUUGACUUUGGGAUAACUUCAGGAAACUGGGGCUAAUACCGGAUAGGAGCUCCUGCUGCAUGGUGGGGGUUGGAAAGUUUCGGCGGUUGGGGAUGGACUCGCGGCUUAUCAGCUUGUUGGUGGGGUAGUGGCUUACCAAAGCUUUGACGGGUAGCCGGCCUGAGAGGGUGACCGGCCACAUUGGGACUGAGAUACGGCCCAGACUCCUACGGGAGGCAGCAGUGGGGAAUAUUGCACAAUGGGCGGAAGCCUGAUGCAGCAACGCCGCGUGCGGGAUGACGGCCUUCGGGUUGUAAACCGCUUUCGCCUGUGACGAAGCGUGAGUGACGGUAAUGGGUAAAGAAGCACCGGCUAACUACGUGCCAGCAGCCGCGGUGAUACGUAGGGUGCGAGCGUUGUCCGGAUUUAUUGGGCGUAAAGGGCUCGUAGGUGGUUGAUCGCGUCGGAAGUGUAAUCUUGGGGCUUAACCCUGAGCGUGCUUUCGAUACGGGUUGACUUGAGGAAGGUAGGGGAGAAUGGAAUUCCUGGUGGAGCGGUGGAAUGCGCAGAUAUCAGGAGGAACACCAGUGGCGAAGGCGGUUCUCUGGGCCUUUCCUGACGCUGAGGAGCGAAAGCGUGGGGAGCGAACAGGCUUAGAUACCCUGGUAGUCCACGCUGUAAACGGUGGGUACUAGGUGUGGGGUCCAUUCCACGGGUUCCGUGCCGUAGCUAACGCUUUAAGUACCCCGCCUGGGGAGUACGGCCGCAAGGCUAAAACUCAAAGGAAUUGACGGGGCCCCGCACAAGCGGCGGAGCAUGCGGAUUAAUUCGAUGCAACGCGUAGAACCUUACCUGGGUUUGACAUGGAUCGGGAGUGCUCAGAGAUGGGUGUGCCUCUUUUGGGGUCGGUUCACAGGUGGUGCAUGGCUGUCGUCAGCUCGUGUCGUGAGAUGUUGGGUUAAGUCCCGCAACGAGCGCAACCCUUGUUCACUGUUGCCAGCACGUUAUGGUGGGGACUCAGUGGAGACCGCCGGGGUCAACUCGGAGGAAGGUGGGGAUGACGUCAAGUCAUCAUGCCCCUUAUGUCCAGGGCUUCACGCAUGCUACAAUGGCUGGUACAGAGAGUGGCGAGCCUGUGAGGGUGAGCGAAUCUCGGAAAGCCGGUCUCAGUUCGGAUUGGGGUCUGCAACUCGACCUCAUGAAGUCGGAGUCGCUAGUAAUCGCAGAUCAGCAACGCUGCGGUGAAUACGUUCCCGGGGCU